Long non-coding RNA from Vitis riparia (riverbank grape), 2510 nucleotides. RefSeq lists it as uncharacterized. The transcript has 5 exons. NCBI's taxonomy places the organism in Eukaryota, Viridiplantae, Streptophyta, Magnoliopsida, Vitales, Vitaceae. The record is from RefSeq and is a predicted model, not a curated record.
CAGAUAAUAUAAAAAGUAGAUUAAGUUUCUGGGUUUUGAUUUAUAUGAUCCUAACCUCUCUUGUAGGGAUGAUCUGAUUGUAUGACUACUUCACGCCAGCUUUCCUGUUUCACUGGGACAUCAUCUCUUAGGAGGGGAUCUACUUCAAGGAUGGUGCAUUGUCAUGCCUCAACCCGAUAAAUAUUGAGUUUACAGUUUGGUUUCUGCUCUCAAUUCUCUCUUGGUUUCUUCUUGAUCGUUCUAGACUUGAUGCCUGCUCUGAUUUUCCAACCACAUGUACUCCAAGUAACACCUCUCCCUCUCAGGCUAAAUGUUUUGCUCUGCAAACAAAGCAAAACUCCGAAGGAGAUGAUCACUUGCUUACACCAAUAAUUAGGCUAUUAAUGUCAACUUUGUUCGACCUAACUGGUGGUUCUAACUGGUAUGAAUGUCAAUUCCUUUCAGGCUUUCUGAACUUAUAUAAGCAAGAGCUCUAGGUUCCUUUCGCCUUCAAGAUGGCUCUGCACUUUCUAGGCCUUAACCAUCCAACCCUCCUUUCCAUGCCUCUUUUGAUUCAUCUGGGAUGGUUUCAAUUCUCUUGACUAACCCUGCAGUCAGUUGAACGGAGUUCCAUAUUGUUAUGUUAGUAGCUUUGAUUCUUUAUGAAUUCCAGAUACAUACAGCGUCUUGAGAUGAUAGCUAAUGGCCCUGAUGGUUUGUUUGUACAAAAUAAUAAUAUUCUUUUUGGUUGAGUGCAGAUUAGAAAUAAACAUUCCUUUCUUUCAGUCUCAUGGUUAUCUUUCUGUUUUUCCAUGCAUUACUAGUAAUUAAUAGUCCUCAUCUUUGAUGCCAUUCAGCUAAUGAGGGUCCAGAAACAAAGAAAUUGUCGUCUGAAGCCCGUCAUCAUCAAUCAGCCGCACACAGAACUUGCCAUACAUUCCAGGGUCGGAGUUCCCCAUAGCCAACACCUCUUCAAGGAAUUCAAAGCCACUGAAGAAUACGUUUUUGGCAGAUGAUUCUUUUUGUCCUUUCAAGGAUCAACCUAAGUCUCAAAAGUUCAUAUCCUAUUUAUCCUGGCUAUUUUUCCCAUUCUUGAAUAGAGAGGCUACAACCUAAGUUCAUAGGGGAUCUCACUGCAGGACUCAACAUUGCAAUCUCUGCAUUCCUCAGACGCCAACCUUGUACCACUAUUGGUUUAUGCCUUCAUAGGCAAUUUAAAGACUCAACUACAUGACCGGUUUGUUAUGUUGUAUCUCUCGUUGGGAACUCAAAUUCAGGAAGAGAUUGACCCACAAAAAAUGCAGCUGAGUUUUGGUGGCUUGCAUUGGCAGAUACAUUUUUUGCUGGACCACCCAAGCCACACUUGGGUUUCUAAGGCAAUCAACACAUGCAUCUGUAAGUGCUUUGCUCAGCAGUACUCGGCCUCCUUUCUGCAAUCCCUGCAAUAUUAGUAGGGCUCAUACAGAGGAAGGAAGGGACUGAGAGUGAGAGUGAGAGCCUCCUUUAUAUGACCUUAGGUUUUCUUUAUAUUAUUGUUCCAGCCCUUUUAAAGGCCUCCAGCUUUCAGUUUUCUAUGAUAAAACAAUGGUGGUUUGUCUUAGUUCUCAGAUUGGAUCAAUUUCUUAUCCCAUGCUGCUACUCCUGGUUUUAUGCAUGAUCUGCCAUGAAAAUUGCCUUCCAACAGCUCGAAGGUCUUCUUGGCAUCCAGAAGUACAUACAGAAAACUGAUUAUUUCUGUAAUGCGCUCAGCAUGGGGCUCAGUUCAUCAUGAAUGAAACUGGCAGACUCUAGUCACCAGGGCGAGCUUUUGGGGUUUCCUUCUAUUUGCAAAGUACACUAUAAGAGUCUCUAAUUUCGACCACUGUACACAAAAUUUCUGUAGGAGUGGUAAAGGAUCAGGAUAUCUGCUACCUUAAAAGUCUUAUUUGUCUAGUAUAUGUGAUUGGCCUAAUUGCCUUGAAUAUGUUCUCACCUAUUGUUAUAGUAGGUUUCCAUAUCCUUUGCCAAAAUCCUCCUACAAAGUUACAAGGCCAUGGAGUGCAAUUCUUGGGAGGCUCCCUGGAACAACUGUUAACAGGAACAUCCAACGAUAUCCAGAGGCAACCAAUAAGACUCCAGGCUUUGUUAAGUGUGAGGAUUGAUUCUGCAAAUACUUUUCCAAUUUUAACUUCAUCAAGGAAGGUUGCGGAUCCUUUUAGCCUUCCUGGAUAUUGAGAUGGCUGACUGAUGAGGGAAUAAAAGUUGAAACCAGCAAACCUACCAAGAGCAUAGUUUUUUUGUCUAACACCGGUGGCAUCCAUGCUUUGGGAAUUACACAGAAGUCUUCUGAGGAAUACACCUAUACUAAAGUCACAAUAUGUUAUGAAAUCUACUUCAUAAAAAAACAUCAUAUACUCUUUUAGAAGUAAUUCAUGCUACUAUAUAUGGUACCUGACUAGAGAUUACCUGAAUGGAAGUCCCCAUUUUGAUGUGCAGUUAGUUCCGGCAAAUCCUGCGCCAAGUGGUUAUUGACAAGUUACAUACAUCCAAGU